RNAcentral lists this ribosomal RNA (460 nucleotides) under uncultured bacterium. Its description in RNAcentral is "partial 16S ribosomal RNA". It matches the Rfam family "Bacterial small subunit ribosomal RNA", at positions 338 to 795 of the family's 1533-position model. The record is from RNAcentral.
CCUACGGGAGGCAGCAGUGAGGAAUAUUGGUCAAUGGACGAGAGUCUGAACCAGCCAAGUAGCGUGAAGGAUGACUGCCCUAUGGGUUGUAAACUUCUUUUAUAUGGGAAUAAAAUGUUCCACGUGUGGGAUUUUGUAUGUACCCUAUGAAUAAGGAUCGGCUAACUCCGUGCCAGCAGCCGCGGUAAUACGGAGGAUCCGAGCGUUAUCCGGAUUUAUUGGGUUUAAAGGGAGCGUAGGGGGUUUGUUAAGUCAGUUGUGAAAGUUUGCGGCUCAACCGUAAAAUUGCAGUUGAAACUGGCAGUCUUGAGUACAGUAGAGGUGGGCGGAAUUCGUGGUGUAGCGGUGAAAUGCUUAGAUAUCACGAAGAACUCCGAUUGCGAAGGCAGUUCACUGGACUGCAACUGACACUGAGGCUCGAAAGUGUGGGUAUCAAACAGGAUUAGAUACCCCUGUAGUC